UCAAGCGAACAAGUGCAUGUGGUGGAUGCCUUGGCGAUCACAGGCGAUGAAGGACGCGGUAGCCUGCGAAAAGCUACGGGGAGCUGGCAAACGAGCUUUGAUCCGUAGAUGUCCGAAUGGGGAAACCCACUCCUUUUGGAGUAUCCAUGGCUGAAUACAUAGGCCAUGUGAAGCGAACGCGGUGAACUGAAACAUCUAAGUAACCGCAGGAAAAGAAAUCAACCGAGAUUCCCAAAGUAGUGGCGAGCGAAAUGGGAUGAGCCUUGCACUCUUUAUUUGUAUUGUUAGCCGAACGCUCUGGAAAGUGCGGCCAUAGCAGGUGAUAGCCCUGUAGGCGAAAACAGUAUGAAAGAACUAGGUGUGCGACAAGUAGGGCGGGACACGUGAAAUCCUGUCUGAAGAUGGGGGGACCAUCCUCCAAGGCUAAAUACUCGUGAUCGACCGAUAGUGAACCAGUACCGUGAGGGAAAGGCGAAAAGAACCCCGGGAGGGGAGUGAAAUAGAUCCUGAAACCGCAUGCAUACAAACAGUCGGAGCCUCGUAAGGGGUGACGGCGUACCUUUUGUAUAAUGGGUCAGCGACUUACGUUCAGUAGCAAGCUUAACCGUAUAGGGCAGGCGUAGCGAAAGCGAGUCCGAAUAGGGCGUUCAGUUGCUGGGCGUAGACCCGAAACCAAGUGAUCUAUCCAUGGCCAGGAUGAAGGUGCGGUAACACGUACUGGAGGUCCGAACCCACUAACGUUGAAAAGUUAGGGGAUGAGCUGUGGAUAGGGGUGAAAGGCUAAACAAACUUGGAAAUAGCUGGUUCUCUCCGAAAACUAUUUAGGUAGUGCCUCGUGUCUCACCUUCGGGGGUAGAGCACUGUCAUGGUUGGGGGGUCUAUUGCAGAUUACCCCGCCAUAGCAAACUCCGAAUACCGAAGAGUGCAAUCACGGGAGACAGACAUCGGGUGCUAACGUCCGGUGUCAAGAGGGAAACAACCCAGACCGCCAGCUAAGGUCCCCAAAUAUAGCUAAGUGGGAAACGAAGUGGGAAGGCUAAAACAGUCAGGAGGUUGGCUUAGAAGCAGCCACCCUUUAAAGAAAGCGUAAUAGCUCACUGAUCGAGUCGUCCUGCGCGGAAGAUGUAACGGGGCUAAGCUAUAUACCGAAGCUGCGGAUGCGUGCUUUGCACGCAUGGUAGGAGAGCGUUCCGUAAGCCUGCGAAGGUGCGUUGAAAAGCGUGCUGGAGGUAUCGGAAGUGCGAAUGCUGACAUGAGUAGCGAUAAAGGGGGUGAAAGGCCCCCUCGCCGUAAGCCCAAGGUUUCCUACGCAACGUUCAUCGGCGUAGGGUGAGUCGGCCCCUAAGGCGAGGCAGAAAUGCGUAGCUGAUGGGAAGCAGGUCAAUAUUCCUGCACCAUUGUUAAAUGCGAUGGGGGGACGGAUCGCGGAAGGUUGUCCGGGUGUUGGAAGUCCCGGUCGCUGCAUUGGAGAAGGCGCUUAGGCAAAUCCGGGCGCAGGAUUCAAGGGUGUGGCGCGAGCUCCUUAGGGAGCGAAGCAAUUGGAAGUGGUUCCAAGAAAAGCCUCUAAGCUUCAGUUUAACAGUGACCGUACCGCAAACCGACACAGGUGGGCGAGAUGAGUAUUCUAAGGCGCUUGAGAGAACUCGGGAGAAGGAACUCGGCAAAUUGGUACCGUAACUUCGGGAUAAGGUACGCCCUUGUAGCUUGACUGGCCUGCGCCAGGAGGGUGAAGGGGUUGCAAUAAACUGGUGGCUGCGACUGUUUAAUAAAAACACAGCACUCUGCAAACACGAAAGUGGACGUAUAGGGUGUGACGCCUGCCCGGUGCCGGAAGAUUAAAUGAUGGGGUGCAAGCUCUUGAUUGAAGUCCCGGUAAACGGCGGCCGUAACUAUAACGGUCCUAAGGUAGCGAAAUUCCUUGUCGGGUAAGUUCCGACCUGCACGAAUGGCGUAACGAUGGCCACACUGUCUCCUCCCGAGACUCAGCGAAGUUGAAGUGUUUGUGAUGAUGCAAUCUACCCGCGGCUAGACGGAAAGACCCCAUGAACCUUUACUGUAGCUUUGCAUUGGACUUUGAACCGAUCUGUGUAGGAUAGGUGGGAGGCUAUGAAACCGGAACGCUAGUUUCGGUGGAGCCGUCCUUGAAAUACCACCCUGGUUUGUUUGAGGUUCUAACCUUGGCCCGUGAUCCGGGUCGGGGACAGUGCAUGGUAGGCAGUUUGACUGGGGCGGUCUCCUCCCAAAGCGUAACGGAGGAGUACGAAGGUACGCUAGGUACGGUCGGAAAUCGUGCUGAUAGUGCAAUGGCAUAAGCGUGCUUAACUGCGAGACCGACAAGUCGAGCAGGUGCGAAAGCAGGUCAUAGUGAUCCGGUGGUUCUGUAUGGAAGGGCCAUCGCUCAACGGAUAAAAGGUACUCUGGGGAUAACAGGCUGAUACCGCCCAAGAGUUCAUAUCGACGGCGGUGUUUGGCACCUCGAUGUCGGCUCAUCUCAUCCUGGGGCUGUAGCCGGUCCCAAGGGUAUGGCUGUUCGCCAUUUAAAGAGGUACGUGAGCUGGGUUUAAAACGUCGUGAGACAGUUUGGUCCCUAUCUGCCGUGGGCGUUGGAUAUUUGAAGGGGGCUGCUCCUAGUACGAGAGGACCGGAGUGGACGAACCUCUGGUGUACCGGUUGUCACGCCAGUGGCAUCGCCGGGUAGCUAUGUUCGGAAGAGAUAACCGCUGAAAGCAUCUAAGCGGGAAACUCGCCUUAAGAUGAGAUAUCCCUGGGGACUAGAUCCCCUUGAAGGGUCGUUCGAGACCAGGACGUUGAUAGGUCAGGUGUGUAAGCGCAGUAAUGCGUUCAGCUAACUGAUACUAAUUGCCCGUAAGGCUUGAUCCU
RNAcentral lists this ribosomal RNA (2880 nucleotides) under Burkholderia pyrrocinia CH-67. RNAcentral describes it as "bacterial LSU rRNA". It matches the Rfam family "Bacterial large subunit ribosomal RNA". The record is from RNAcentral. Lineage: Bacteria; Pseudomonadati; Pseudomonadota; Betaproteobacteria; Burkholderiales; Burkholderiaceae.